Molecule: ribosomal RNA, 1524 nt
Filed under: Escherichia coli
Lineage: Bacteria; Pseudomonadati; Pseudomonadota; Gammaproteobacteria; Enterobacterales; Enterobacteriaceae
Description: partial 23S ribosomal RNA
Rfam family: Bacterial large subunit ribosomal RNA
Source: RNAcentral
GGGUUGUGAGGUUAAGCGACUAAGCGUACACGGUGGAUGCCCUGGCAGUCAGAGGCGAUGAAGGACGUGCUAAUCUGCGAUAAGCGUCGGUGAGGUGAUAUGAACCGUUAUAACCGGCGAUUUCCGAAUGGGGAAACCCAGUGUGUUUCGACACACUAUCAUUAACUGAAUCCAUAGGUUAAUGAGGCGAACCGGGGGAACUGAAACAUCUAAGUACCCCGAGGAAAAGAAAUCAACCGAGAUUCCCCCAGUAGCGGCGAGCGAACGGGGAGGAGCCCAGAGCCUGAAUCAGUGUGUGUGUUAGUGGAAGCGUCUGGAAAGGCGCGCGAUACAGGGUGACAGCCCCGUACACAAAAAUGCACAUAUUGUGAGCUCGAUGAGUAGGGCGGGACACGUGGUAUCCUGUCUGAAUAUGGGGGGACCAUCCUCCAAGGCUAAAUACUCCUGACUGACCGAUAGUGAACCAGUACCGUGAGGGAAAGGCGAAAAGAACCCCGGCGAGGGGAGUGAAAAAGAACCUGAAACCGUGUACGUACAAGCAGUGGGAGCCUCUUUAUGGGGUGACUGCGUACCUUUUGUAUAAUGGGUCAGCGACUUAUAUUCUGUAGCAAGGUUAACCGAAUAGGGGAGCCGAAGGGAAACCGAGUCUUAACUGGGCGUUAAGUUGCAGGGUAUAGACCCGAAACCCGGUGAUCUAGCCAUGGGCAGGUUGAAGGUUGGGUAACACUAACUGGAGGACCGAACCGACUAAUGUUGAAAAAUUAGCGGAUGACUUGUGGCUGGGGGUGAAAGGCCAAUCAAACCGGGAGAUAGCUGGUUCUCCCCGAAAGCUAUUUAGGUAGCGCCUCGUGAAUUCAUCUCCGGGGGUAGAGCACUGUUUCGGCAAGGGGGUCAUCCCGACUUACCAACCCGAUGCAAACUGCGAAUACCGGAGAAUGUUAUCACGGGAGACACACGGCGGGUGCUAACGUCCGUCGUGAAGAGGGAAACAACCCAGACCGCCAGCUAAGGUCCCAAAGUCAUGGUUAAGUGGGAAACGAUGUGGGAAGGCCCAGACAGCCAGGAUGUUGGCUUAGAAGCAGCCAUCAUUUAAAGAAAGCGUAAUAGCUCACUGGUCGAGUCGGCCUGCGCGGAAGAUGUAACGGGGCUAAACCAUGCACCGAAGCUGCGGCAGCGACACUAUGUGUUGUUGGGUAGGGGAGCGUUCUGUAAGCCUGUGAAGGUGGCCUGUGAGGGUUGCUGGAGGUAUCAGAAGUGCGAAUGCUGACAUAAGUAACGAUAAAGCGGGUGAAAAGCCCGCUCGCCGGAAGACCAAGGGUUCCUGUCCAACGUUAAUCGGGGCAGGGUGAGUCGACCCCUAAGGCGAGGCCGAAAGGCGUAGUCGAUGGGAAACAGGUUAAUAUUCCUGUACUUGGUGUUACUGCGAAGGGGGGACGGAGAAGGCUAUGUUGGCCGGGCGACGGUUGUCCCGGUUUAAGCGUGUAGGCUGGUUUUCCAGGCAAAUCCGGAAAACCAAGGCUGAGG